ACCCGUGUGGAAGGCUGACAACUGGUCUUCUCGGCUUUUUAUUUGACCCUAGGGUAGUCAUAAAAAGAAAACUGAAUCUGAGGAGUAAUGCCCGGGUAGCCGUCUGGAGAAGUAGUGUUGGCUCUCAAGGAAUUGGAAAUCGGCCGAAUCUUUAAAUGAAAUUAAUGUGUAAUAGAAGGGGUGUCGUCAGAAAUUGAUGAAGUUUAAACCACGCGUAAUGUAGUAUGCCUUCCAGUGUACUAAUUUUCACUACAGGUCCAGAUGUAUGAGACGUGAUGACCUGAGAAGAUGGUCACGAAGGUGAGAUAUUAUUGUGACCUGGUGACCUUAAAGUCCCACUUGACUCUGAGCUACAUCAAUAUCAAGCUCUAAAUCCGUGUGGGUUAUUCCUUGUAAUCCGGCGUGGUGAAGUGUCGAUACUCAGUCUGCUGAACUUGAGACACUGCAACUACUGACCUGCUUCGGCGUGUGCUACAAGGACUUGUAACCCCACGAGGACUUGUAACUACACGAAGAGGCGCUCGUCCUUAUCCUCUGAACGACUAAUCUCAUCACCAACUUUUCAACCCCGGUGAGCUAUAAGUAAGGAAAAGUUGGUGAAAUAUGUGGAGGUGAACUCUGCCCAGUUGUACGUUGGGGUCCUUCCCGAUUCUGUUGUCCGUGUAAAAUUACAUUAGAAAACUCUUCUGGUGGCCUUCACAGCUGCAACACUCGCCUGGAACACUGUUGACGUUCUUCAUGGAGCUGCAACACUCGCCUGGAACACUGUUGACGUCCUCAUGGA
Cherax quadricarinatus is the source of this 784-nucleotide long non-coding RNA. RefSeq lists it as uncharacterized. NCBI's taxonomy places the organism in Eukaryota, Metazoa, Arthropoda, Malacostraca, Decapoda, Parastacidae. The record is from RefSeq and is a predicted model, not a curated record.